GAUGAAGAACGCAGCGAAAUGCGAUAAGUAGUGUGAAUUGCAGAAUUCAGUGAAUCAUCGAAUCUUUGAACGCACAUUGCGCCCUUUGGUAUUCCAAAGGGCAUGCCUGUUCGAGCGUCAUUUGUACCCUCAAGCUUUGCUUGGUGUUGGGCGUCUUGUCUCUAGCUUUGCUGGAGACUCGCCUUAAAGUAAUUGGCAGCCGGCCUACUGGUUUCGGAGCGCAGCACAAGUCGCACUCUCUAUCAGCAAAGGUCUAGCAUCCAUUAAGCCUUUUUUUCAACUUUUGACCUCGGACCAGGUAGGGAUACCCGCUGAACUUAAGCAUAUCAAUAAGCGGAGGA
Molecule: unclassified non-coding RNA, 341 nt
Filed under: soil metagenome
Description: partial contains 5.8S ribosomal RNA, internal transcribed spacer 2, and large subunit ribosomal RNA
Rfam family: 5.8S ribosomal RNA (bases 1-120)
Source: RNAcentral